GAUGAACGCUGGCGGCGUGCUUAACACAUGCAAGUCGAACGGAAAGACCAAAGCUUGCUUGGGUACUCGAGUGGCGCACGGGGGAGUAAAACGUGUGGGAUCUGCACCGCACUUCGGGAUAAGCCUGGGAAACUGGGUCUAAUAUCGGAGAGGACAGUGGUUUGGAUGCCAUUGUGGAAUGUUUUUCCGGUGUGGGGUUAGCUCGCGACCUAUCAGCUUGUUGGUGGGGUAAUGGCCUACCAAGGCGUCGACGGGUAGACGGCCUGAGAGGGUGUACGGCCGCACUGGGUCCUAGAUGCGGCCCCGGUUCGGACGGGAGGCAGCAGGGGGGAAGAUUGACCGAUCGGCGCCAGCCGGAUGCAGCGACGCCGCGUAUCGGAUGACGGUCUUAGGGUUGUAAACCACUUUUGCUAGUGACGAAGCGUUAUGUGACGGUACCUAGAGAAGAAGCCCCGGCUAACUACGUG
This 467-nucleotide ribosomal RNA is filed under the name uncultured bacterium. Its description in RNAcentral is "partial 16S ribosomal RNA". It matches the Rfam family "Bacterial small subunit ribosomal RNA", at positions 28 to 507 of the family's 1533-position model. The record is from RNAcentral.